RNAcentral lists this ribosomal RNA (274 nucleotides) under uncultured bacterium. RNAcentral describes it as "partial 16S ribosomal RNA". It matches the Rfam family "Bacterial small subunit ribosomal RNA", at positions 523 to 796 of the family's 1533-position model. The record is from RNAcentral.
AUACAGAGGGUGCAAGCGUUAAUCGGAAUUACUGGGCGUAAAGCGCGCGUAGGCGGCUUGGUCAGUCGGAUGUGAAAGCCCCGGGCUCAACCUGGGAACUGCAUUCGAUACUGCUAGGCUAGAGUAUGGUAGAGGGUAGUAGAAUUCCUGGUGUAGCGGUGAAAUGCGUAGAUAUCAGGAGGAAUACCAGUGGCGAAGGCGGCUACCUGGACCAAUACUGACGCUGAGGCGCGAAAGCGUGGGGAGCAAACAGGAUUAGAAACCCGAGUAGUCC